Molecule: ribosomal RNA, 427 nt
Filed under: uncultured soil bacterium
Lineage: Bacteria
Description: bacterial SSU rRNA
Rfam family: Bacterial small subunit ribosomal RNA
Source: RNAcentral
AGAUUGAACGCUGGCGGCAUGCCUAACACAUGCAAGUCGAACGGGAGUAGCAAUACUCUAGUGGCGGACGGGUGAGGAAUACGUAGGAAUUUGCCCUUAAGUGGGGGAUAACCCGGGGAAACCCGGAUUAAUACCGCAUGACCUCGAAAGAGCAAAGUGGGGGAUCGCAAGACCUCACGCUUUUGGAGAAGCCUACGUCGGAUUAGCUAGUUGGUGAGGUAAUGGCUCACCAAGGCGACGAUCCGUAACUGGUCUGAGAGGAUGAUCAGUCACACCGGAACUGAGACACGGUCCGGACUCCUACGGGAGCAGCAGUGGGGAAUAUUGGACAAGUGGGCGCAAGCCUGAUCCAGCAAUGCCGCGUGUGUAGAAGGAAGGCCGUUCGGGUUAGUAAAGUCGUACGUUUUAAGGUUAGGAAAGAAAAAAC